This 164-nucleotide ribosomal RNA is filed under the name Jouvea pilosa. RNAcentral describes it as "5.8S ribosomal RNA". It matches the Rfam family "5.8S ribosomal RNA". Rfam says of the family: 5.8S ribosomal RNA (5.8S rRNA) is a component of the large subunit of the eukaryotic ribosome. It is transcribed by RNA polymerase I as part of the 45S precursor that also contains 18S and 28S rRNA. Functionally, it is thought that 5.8S rRNA may be involved in ribosome translocation. Lineage: Eukaryota; Viridiplantae; Streptophyta; Magnoliopsida; Poales; Poaceae. The record is from RNAcentral.
CACAUGACUCUCGACAACGGAUAUCUUGGCUCUUACAUCGAUGAAGAACGUAGCAAAAUGCGAUACUUGGUGUGAAUUGCAGAAUCCCGUGAACCAUCGAGUUUUUGAACGCAAGUUGCGCCUGAUGCCUUCGGGCUGAUGGCACGUCUGCUUGGGCGUCACGA